Molecule: ribosomal RNA, 447 nt
Filed under: uncultured bacterium
Lineage: Bacteria
Description: bacterial SSU rRNA
Rfam family: Bacterial small subunit ribosomal RNA
Source: RNAcentral
UAACGAAUCUUCCGCAAUGCACGAAAGUGUGACGGAGCGACGCCGCGUGGAGGACGAAGUUCUUCGGAAUGUAAACUCCUGUCAGGGGAAAGAAAGUUCUGAUCUACCCCAGAGGAAGAGGCGGCUAACUCUGUGCCAGCAGCCGCGGUAAUACAGAGGCCUCGAGCGUUAGACGGAAUCACUGGGCUUAAAGCGUGUGUAGGCGGAAGGGUAAGUACCUUGUGAAAUCCCACGGCUUAACCGUGGAACGGCUUGGUAUACUGCUUUUCUUGAGCAAUCUAGGGGCGAGUGGAACAGAUGGUGGAGCGGUGAAAUGCGUAGAUAUCAUCUGGAACGCCAAUGGUGAAGACAACUCGCUGGGGAUUUGCUGACGCUGAGACACGAAAGCCAGGGGAGCGAACGGGAUUAGAUACCCAGGUAGUCCCUGAGCGGGCUGGCAAGGCGCAU